CUACGGGACGCUCCAGUAAGGAAUAUUGGGCAAUGGACGCAAGUCUGACCCAGCCAUGCCGCGUGCAGGAUGACAGCCCUACGGGUUGUAAACUGCUUUUAUACGGGAAAAAUUCCCCGGUCGUGCAUCGGGGUUGAUGGUACCGUAAGAAUAAGCAUCGGCUAACGCCGUGCCAGCAGCCGCGGUAAUACGGAGGAUGCAAGCGUUAUCCGGAUUCAUUGGGCUUAAAGGGUGCGUAGGCGGAAUGAUAAGUCAGUGGUGAAAUCCUACAGCUUAACUGUAGAACUGCCAUUGAUACUGUUGUUCUUGAGUACAUUUGAAGUGGGCGGAAUGUGUCAUGUAGCGGUGAAAUGCAUAGAGAUGACACAGAACACCGAUCGCGAAGGCAGCUCACUAAACUGUAACUGACGCUGAGGCACGAAAGCGUGGGGAUCAAACAGGAUUAGAUACCCUAGUAGUC
RNAcentral lists this ribosomal RNA (460 nucleotides) under uncultured bacterium. Its description in RNAcentral is "partial 16S ribosomal RNA". It matches the Rfam family "Bacterial small subunit ribosomal RNA", at positions 339 to 795 of the family's 1533-position model. The record is from RNAcentral.